This 926-nucleotide ribosomal RNA is filed under the name Macrolepiota sp. RNAcentral's name for it is "partial large subunit ribosomal RNA". It matches the Rfam family "Eukaryotic large subunit ribosomal RNA", at positions 41 to 955 of the family's 3401-position model. Lineage: Eukaryota; Fungi; Basidiomycota; Agaricomycetes; Agaricales; Agaricaceae. The record is from RNAcentral.
AUUCAAUAAGCGGAGGAAAAGAAACUAACAAGGAUUCCCCUAGUAACUGCGAGUGAAGCGGGAAAAGCUCAAAUUUAAAAUCUGGCAGUCUUUGGCUGUCCGAGUUGUAAUCUAGAGAAGUGCUGCCCGCGCUGGACCGUGUACAAGUCUCCUGGGAUGGAGCGUCAUAGAGGGUGAGAAUCCCGUCUCUGACACGGACUACCAGGGCUUUGUGGUACGCUCUCAAAGAGUCGAGUUGUUUGGGAAUGCAGCUCUAAAUGGGUGGUAAAUUCCAUCUAAAGCUAAAUAUUGGCGAGAGACCGAUAGCGAACAAGUACCGUGAGGGAAAGAUGAAAAGAACUUUGGAAAGAGAGUUAAACAGUACGUGAAAUUGCUGAAAGGGAAACGCUUGAAGUCAGUCGCGUUGGCCAGGGAUCAGCCCCGCUCUGCGUGGUGUACUUUCUGGUUAACGGGUCAGCAUCAAUUUUGACUACUGGAAAAAGGCUUGGGGAAUGUGGCAGCUUUGGCUGUGUUAUAGCCCUUUGUCAUAUACAGUGGUUGGGAUUGAGGAACUCAGCACGCCGUAAGGCCGGGUUUCGACCACGUUCGUGCUUAGGAUGCUGGCAUAAUGGCUUUAAGCGACCCGUCUUGAAACACGGACCAAGGAGUCUAACAUGCCUGCGAGUGUUUGGGUGGAAAACCCGAGCGCGUAAUGAAAGUGAAAGUUGAGAUCCCUGUCGUGGGGAGCAUCGACGCCCGGACCAGAACUGUUGGGACGGAUCCGCGGUAGAGCAUGUAUGUUGGGACCCGAAAGAUGGUGAACUAUGCCUGAAUAGGGUGAAGCCAGAGGAAACUCUGGUGGAGGCUCGUAGCGAUUCUGACGUGCAAAUCGAUCGUCAAAUUUGGGUAUAGGGGCGAAAGACUAAUCGAACCAUCUAGUAGCUGGU